CACAACACUGGGGCAGAUGAGAGCUGAGACGCAGAGCCCUUCUGAGAAGCAGCACAGGCUAGCUGGGAACCAGGAAUUUCCUUGACGAAACAGACCAGAGGGAAGCCUUGGGAUCUUGGGGCAGUGACGAGGAAAACCUCAGGGUUGGAGGAAGGAGGGGCCUAGAGGCUGCUAUUAAAAGAAUAAGGAAAAUGCUCUGUAGAGUUAGUAAAAGAUUAACACAGUUCCCCCCAAUGUCGUACGAUCCCAGAGCAUUGCCAAAUACCCUUGGCAUCUCGUGGGAUGAAGUAUGAAGAGAGGUGGGAAGUUGGGGGACAGGGGUCAGGAAAAUGAAGAUCCCACAUCUGAAAGGGGCGAAAGGGUUACUGUUUUGUGAAGUUGAACCCAAGCAUUGCAGGCCUGAAGGAAUGGGAAGAGCUAAGGGCCGGGGAGCCAGCCUGCAGCGGAGGGAAGUGUGCACUUACACUGAUUUAUUGCAGGAGCAAGGAAGGCUUGAAAUGUGCUUCUGGCCACAAGACAAGACAGAUGCCCCUCUGCCAUGUGCCACUAUGCCUUGGAGCCAGCCAAGAUUGAAACUUCUAUGAAUCAGACUCCUGCAGUAAGGCUCUAGUCCCCACCUGCAUGACACAAGGUUGAAGAAAAACUUAAGACAGAGUUAAAGAGAACGUCUGAACUGGGAUGCCCAAUGCUCCUUUGCAAUGGGAAUGGAAUCCAAGGACACUUGACCACUGAGAUAUAUCCUCAUUCCUUUUUAAAAUUUUAAAAAUUUAAGAUACAGUCUCACUAAGCUGGCCGGGCUAGCCUCAAACUUGGAAUUCUCCUGCCUCAGUCUCCCAAGUAGCUAGGAUCACAAGUGCACACCAUAGUACCUAGCUAUAUAGUAUUAUGUCAUUUUAUAAAAGGGACUUGAACCCUGGCAGAUUUUGGUAUCCUCAGGGGUCCUGGAACCAGUUCACCUUGGAUAUUGAAAGAGAGAGUUAGUAUACAUUAACAUCCUGGACCUAACUACAGUGGUCAAGACAUCCUCUACAUGAGAUCAUAAGGGCAAUAGAGUACUAUGAUAAGCACCUAAAAUAUCAAAAAAGGGCCAAGUCAUGUUCCAAAUACCCUACUAAACAAAGCAAAGAAGAAUGUAUAUAGCUUUGAGAGCCCAUCAGAAUGAUUUCAAUUUAAACUUGGCACCCAAAGAUUAAACUUUUUAACACCUUAGAACAAUUCAUCCUUCUGGGGUGCUAAACAACUGAGAUUUUUAUCAUACAGCCUCAAAAUAGCUAAGGAAGAGAUUCUAAAUCAGGUUGAUGUCCUCCUUUUUUUUUUCUUAGUUAUUAUGUAAGGGAACAACUACACUUUAGAACCUUAUACAUAAAUCAGCCUCCAUUUAAUGGCCCCUGGGCCAGCGUUCUUCUGGUGUCAAAUAUGGGGCUCCAGUUCACUCCCAAAGGGAGAGGUGCCCAGCUCUGCUUUAACCUAGAAAUCUCCACUUGAAUCCUCCCCUCUGAGAAAAUCUGGCCUCUUGGAUGACCUGCAGUUAUCCUGGGAACUGGGUUGCCAAAACAAAAGUGCCAUGCCUGAUGUACUAAUGAAUUCAUGGAAAUGCCUAAUGAAAUAAGGUUAUAAGGAGGCAUUGGAAAAGUUUUUCUCUCUUUUCUUAAAAAAGCUGGCCUUUCUUUUUGUGAGUAUAUGUACAUACACACACACACACACACACACACACACAUUUUCCAAAUGCCCUAAAUUAGUUCAGGUUCUGGCCUGACUUUUGCUUUUCUCCUUCUGAGAUCCAAUUUCCUUUCUCAAAAUUCAGGGGGUUUUAUUGGCCUUACUUACAUGGCAUUCCAUAUGUUUGACAUAUUAUAGUAUCUUCUCUCUUCUUCUAGAAUGAAAGCAUCUUCAGGCAGGGUCCGUGUCUUCUUCCUUUUAAAUCUUUUAUCUCCCCAAACAUCUAGAAUCCACAAUGCCUUUCCCACUCUCAACAAAUGUUUAUUGUUUUCACUUACUCCUGUAAUAGUAAUAAUAAUAAUAGUAUAACACAUAUUUAGCACUUACUAUGUGCCAGGCAUCAUUCUAGGUACUUCAUAUGUAUUAAUUUAUUCAAUCCUCCCAACAACCCUAAUAUUAUACAGAUGGGGAAACUGUUGCACAAGUUGAUCGAGUAACUUUCCCCAGGUCAUGGAGCCAAUAAGUUAUCACUGAGCUGAGAUUUGAAGCCAAUCUGUAUAGGUGUAUCAGUCAGUAUUUACUAGAGAAAAAGAUAUAACACAAAAUAUACAAAAAUAGAUGAAUUUACAAGAUUGGCUUACAAUGGCCUCCUACAGAGUCACAUGAGGAAGAAUGCAGAGGAUCUGUCUGAACACUGGAGUCCAAAGGAUUUAGCUGAAGGUCUGCAGUGUCCUUCAACUCACUGCAGUGUCCUGUACAAGUCCAUAUCAGGAGGCCAAUGGGUCUGCAAUGGAAGGCUGAUGAAUCUAUGCUGGAAGGCUGAAGGAUCCUAGCCAGAAGCUGAAGAGACUGCCCAGGAAGCCAGGAGAUGACAUCCAAGGUGAAGGCAAAGACUGGAGCUCCUCUGAAGAAAUAGAAGCACAAGUCUCCUUCCUCCUUCCUCAUUUCCCCUUGAUACCAUCCAGGCAACAAGCUGCCCUAGGGUGCAGAAUUGCUGAGCUGAUUUAGUUAAACUUCUCUUAACUAAACUUCUCAAGCUGACACAAUCAGUCAUCACAGUUGGCUCUACUGACCAUCUUCCAAACCACUUGGCUAUACUGCCUGGCCCAGUGUACAGAGGACCCAGAUAUGACUUAUCAGUUUAGUCCUCCCACACCUGUCCUUUGCUGUCACAGCAACAGAACAACUGGCUGGGAUAUAAAACAGUUACCACUUUCUAACAGGACUUGUCUGUAGCUGUAAUUGCAUCACAAAUGAGCUCCAUGGUUAUUGUCCUCACCCAAGCAGUCCUCACACAUCUGCAAAGCCUCGGGUGAACAAGAUGUGGUUAAAAGGUAGGGUAAAAUUUAUUACAGCAAAAGACACAUUGCCGGGCUGGGGAUUUAUCUCAGUGGUUCUGCCGCCUGCCUCACAAAUGCAAGGUCCCGAGUUCGAUCCCUGGUACCAAAAAAAAAAUGCCAUUAAUCCCUCUUGAAAUACUUCCCCUCAUUUUGAACACACUUAUUCCAUUGUUCUUGCCACUUUCUAAGCAGUUCUGGAAGUCCUCUUUCAUAAGUGUCAUAACAAGAUGUCAUCGAAAAUACAGUGGGUGCUGCUGCUGAGUGACACCUGAUGAGAAGGCAGUCUCAUGAAAACAGUACGGUGUGUCCUUAUCCACUUUAUUCACCCGACCUGGCCCUAUGGGGCUUCUGAAUCUUCCUCAAAGUAAAAAUUACUGUGACAAGUAAAUGUUUUGAAUCGAGUGAAGACAUCAAGGCAGCCUUGAUAACACAACUAAAGACACAAAAGAGGACUUCCAGAACUGCUUCAGAAAGUGGAAAAAAUGAUGAGAUGAGUGUGUUCAAAGCAAGAGAGUAUUUUAAGGGAGAUUAAUGGCAGUGUGUUUUUUUACCGUCAAAGUCUUUUUUAAAGUUACAUAUCAUCCUAGUUUUCAAUCACACCUUAUAUGUUGAAGAUAUAACAAGGAGGAAGGAGCUCCAUUUUAGUCCUUUCCACAUUUGAGAUCCAGGGAGAAAAGGGCAAAACUUGUAACACUGAUAAAAAAGCAAGGACGUGUUCCCAACCUCUGCCCCAGAUCACUUCUUUCUCAUUUUUCAGCUGUCAAGACUUGGGCCACAGGGCAGUUUUCCUACUGUGGGCUUGUGAGUCUGGGUCUAUCCCAAAGGCCUUGCAAAUCUCUAUGUGGAGCACACCAGAAGCACAGUGCUUGAAAGUUACUCUUUGACUUGCACUAUGGAGCUGAGACAAGGGAUUAGUAGUCUGGCUCAACAAGUCAGUCUAGAGGAGCCUCUAGCUUAAAGCCAUCUCCUCUGAGGAUUCUGAAGGUUUCCUAGAGCACUGUUCCUCAUACCUUAAUAUGCAUAGAAAUACUUGGGAAUCUCAUUAAAAUGGAAAUCGUGGUUCAAUAAGUCAAGGUGAGUCUAAAUUCUGCCUUUCUAUCAAGCUCCUAGGGGAUGCUAAUGCUGUGGUCCAUGAACAACACUUUAGCAUCAAAGGACUGGACUAGCUGAAUUUGUUCCAUGCACUUAGCUGUUUUAGAGAUUGAGGCUCCAGGUGUAGAAACAGCCUUAGGGUUCAGAUUUGAAGGUGUUAGUAGCAGUGAUGGUGGCGCAGGCGAUGGCGCUGACAAUGGCAGCAGUGGCUCUAGUGUGGCAAGAACGGCAGUGCUAAUGCUGCUGAAGUUGGUGGUUAUAGUAUUGGUGGAGAUGCUGGUGGGAGGGGAUGUGGUGGAGGUAAAAGUGGUAAUGAUGGUAGUGGCUGGGUGUGUGGAUUGGGACGAUGCGGGAGCUGGGGGUGGUAAUCACAGCGGGAUUGAUGGAGGUGGUGGUCAUGGUGCUGGGUGAAGAUGAGGAUGGUGACUGAACUGUGCUGGUGGUGAUGACUGGGUUAGUAGUGAGGAGAUGGGUGGCGGCGCUGGUGGCAGUGGUGAUGGCAGUGAGAGUGACAGCGGAAGCAGGGGUUGUUAUGGUGAUCGUGAUGGUGUGAGGGCAGUGGUGGUGAUGGAGAGGGCCACAGGGGUGGUGCUCAUUAGCAUCACACCAUGUACAGCUCGUGUUAUUCAAAGCACUUUUUCACAUAUCUUCUAAGAGAACAGGAUUCUGAGUCAGAAGAAUGA
This 4774-nucleotide long non-coding RNA is filed under the name Heterocephalus glaber (naked mole-rat). RNAcentral describes it as "lncRNA (ENSHGLG00000042823.1)". Lineage: Eukaryota; Metazoa; Chordata; Mammalia; Rodentia; Bathyergidae. The record is from RNAcentral.